AUUGAACGCUGGCGGUAUGCUUAACACAUGCAAGUCGAACGGCAGCGCAGUAAUAGCUUUCUCUUCCGGUGGCGGAGUGGCGAGCGGUGCAGGAAAACAUCGGCAUCUACUUUUUCUUGGGGGGUGACGGAGGGAAACUUACCCCAUUACACCUGACGGCGUAAGGGGGAAAGCAGAGGGCCUUCCGCCCUUGCACCGUUCAAUGACCCGAUGUCGGAUUAGCUAGUUGGCGGGGUAAAGGCCCACCAAGGCGACGAUCCGUAGCUGGUCUGAGAGGAUGAUCAGCCACACUGGAACUGAGACACGGUCCAGACUCCUACGGGAGGCAGCAGUGGGGAAUAUUGGACAAUGGGCGCAAGCCUGAUCCAGCCAUACCGCGUGGGUGAAGAAGGCCUUCGGGUUGUAAAGCCCUUUUGUUGGGAAAGAAAAGCAGCAGGUUAAUACCCCGCUGUUCUGACGGUACCCAAAGAAUAAGCACCGGCUAACUUCGUG
Molecule: ribosomal RNA, 492 nt
Filed under: uncultured bacterium
Lineage: Bacteria
Description: partial 16S ribosomal RNA
Rfam family: Bacterial small subunit ribosomal RNA
Source: RNAcentral